This 393-nucleotide ribosomal RNA is filed under the name uncultured bacterium. RNAcentral's name for it is "bacterial SSU rRNA". It matches the Rfam family "Bacterial small subunit ribosomal RNA", at positions 28 to 424 of the family's 1533-position model. The record is from RNAcentral.
GACGAACGCUGGCGGCGUGCUUAACACAUGCAAGUCGAGCGGUAAGGCCCUUUCGGGGGUACACGAGCGGCGAACGGGUGAGUAACACGUGGGUGACCUGCCCUCAGCUCUGGGAUAAGCCUGGGAAACCGGGUCUAAUACUGGAUAUGACUCCAUGACGCAUGUUGUGGGGUGGAAAGCCUUGUGCGGCUGAGGAUGGGCCCGCGGCCUAUCAGCUUGUUGGUGGGGUGANGGCCUACCAAGGCGACGACGGGUAGCCGGCCUGAGAGGGCGACCGGCCGCACUGGGACUGAGACACGGCCCAGACUCCUACGGGAGGCAGCAGUGGGGAAUCUUGCGCAAUGGGCGAAAGCCUGACGCAGCGACGCCGCGUGAGGGAUGACGGCCUCGGUU